Molecule: long non-coding RNA, 735 nt
Organism: Musa acuminata AAA Group (dessert banana)
Lineage: Eukaryota; Viridiplantae; Streptophyta; Magnoliopsida; Zingiberales; Musaceae
Exons: 3
Source: RefSeq, a predicted model, not a curated record
GCAUGCCGGGCUAAUCGCUUCUAUAAAGACCCUAUCUCAUCUCUCUCAGAGAGUGCGCUGUAAGAAGAGCUUCCUACCGAGCUUGCCAAUGGCAGGAGUGAUCAAGGUGGGGUCAUGGGGAGGGAACAAAGGGGCUCACUGGGACAUGGGACCUGCUUCCCGCAUCACAAGGGUGCAGAUUUAUGCUGGGUUGAUCGUCGACUCCAUUAAGGUUUGGUACGUCGUUGACGGCACGCCCAACGAAACGUUCCGGCACGGGCUCCGGCGGCAACCCCCACCAGUUUCAUCUCCGGAAGGGAGAAUACAUCAAUUGUAUCUCAGGCCAUGUCAAAGACUUCCGUGGAACUCGAUGCGUAUCCCAACUCACCUUUGUCACUAAUAUGAGGAAGACACACGGUCCAUUCGGACAGGGUGGUGGGGUCGCUUUCUCCGUUCUUGUCGCCGAGGUGUUACGGACAAACUUUGAAACAAGGUGUUUGAUGUAAUGCUUAUGUAUGUCCGUAUAUUCUGGCGUGUUCAUGCCUUGUACAGAAUGUAAAGGGGCGGCCGAAGGCUUAAUAGUCUCACUUUAGUUGGGUUGGUGGCCUCUUUAGGCUUGUAAAUAAAGGUAGUGUCAUGUGGACACGUGCGAGAGCUUUUCGGUCUGUAAUGAACCAUUUUACCCUUUGUUGUGCAACUGUUCAGAGCUUGUAAAGUCUGUUUGUAAUUUGCAUUGUCUAUGAAGUGUUUUACGGA